RNAcentral lists this ribosomal RNA (253 nucleotides) under uncultured bacterium. RNAcentral describes it as "partial 16S ribosomal RNA". It matches the Rfam family "Bacterial small subunit ribosomal RNA", at positions 524 to 776 of the family's 1533-position model. The record is from RNAcentral.
UACGUAGGGUGCGAGCGUUAAUCGGAAUUACCGGGCGUAAAGCGUGCGCAGGCGGUGAUGUAAGACAGGUGUGAAAUCCCCGGGCUUAACCUGGGAACUGCAUUUGUGACUGCAUCGCUGGAGUGCGGCAGAGGGGGAUGGAAUUCCGCGUGUAGCAGUGAAAUGCGUAGAUAUGCGGAGGAACACCGAUGGCGAAGGCAAUCCCCUGGGCCUGCACUGACGCUCAUGCACGAAAGCGUGGGGAGCAAACAGG